Molecule: ribosomal RNA, 1553 nt
Filed under: Gammaproteobacteria bacterium
Lineage: Bacteria; Pseudomonadati; Pseudomonadota; Gammaproteobacteria
Description: bacterial SSU rRNA
Rfam family: Bacterial small subunit ribosomal RNA
Source: RNAcentral
CAAUUGAAGAGUUUGAUCAUGGCUCAGAUUGAACGCUGGCGGUAACUUUUAAACAUGCAAGUCGAGCGGUAACAGACAUAAAGAUUCAGCUUGCUGAAUCCGGUGCUGACGAGCGGCGAACGGGUGAGUAACGCGUAGGAAUCUACCCAGUAGCGGGGGAUAGCCAGAGGAAACUCUGAUUAAUACCGCAUACGCCCUGAGGGGGAAAGGGGGCAAUUUAUUGCUCUCACUAUUGGAUGAGCCUGCGUAAGAUUAGCUUGUUGGUAGGGUAAAGGCCUACCAAGGCUACGAUCUUUAGCUGGUCUGAGAGGACGAUCAGCCACAUUGGGACUGAGACACGGCCCAGACAUCUACGGAUGGCAGCAGUUAAGAAUAUUGGACAAUGGGGGCAACCCUGAUCCAGGUAUACCGCGUGUGUGAAGAAGGCCUUAGGGUUGUAAAGCACUUUAAUCAGAGAAGAAGCAUUUUAAGUUAAUACCUUAAUUUGUUGACGUUAACUGAAGAAUAAGGACCGGCUAACUCCGUGCCAGCAGCCGCGGUAAUACGGAGGGUCCAAGCGUUAAUCGGAAUUACUGGGCGUAAAGCGCGCGUAGGCGGUUUAGCAAGUUGUAUGUGAAAGCCCUGGGCUCAACCUAGGAACUGCAUCCAAAACUACUAAGCUAGAGUACGAGAGAGGAGAGUAGAAUUUCUGGUGUAGCGGUGAAAUGCGUAGAUAUCAGAAGGAAUACCAAUGGCGAAGGCAGCUCUCUGGCUCGUAACUGACGCUGAGGUGCGAAAGCGUGGGUAGCAAACAGGAUUAGAUACCCUGGUAGUCCACGCCGUAAACGAUGACAAUUAGCCGUUGGGCAGAUUUAACUGUUCAGUGGCACAGCUAACGCAUUAAAUUGUCCGCCUGGGGAGUACGGCCGCAAGGCUAAAACUCAAAUGAAUUGACGGGGGCCCGCACAAGUGGUGGAGCAUGUGGUUUAAUUCGAUGCAACGCGAAGAACCUUACCAAUCCUUGAAAUCUAGCGAAGUUCGCAGAGAUGUGAAUGUGCCUUCGGGAACGCUAUGACAGGUGUUGCAUGGCUGUCGUCAGCUCGUGUCGUGAGAUGUAUGGUUAAGUCCAGUAACGAGCGCAACCCCUAUCCUUAUUUGCCAGCGCGUAAUGGCGGGAACUAUAGGGAGACUGCCGGGUGAAACCCGGAGGAAGGCGGGGACGAGGUCAAGUCAUCAUGGCCCUUAUGGAUUGGGCUACACACGUGCUACAAUGGGAAGUACAGAGGGAUGCGAAAGCGCGAGCUGGAGCCAAACCCUUAAAACUUUUCUUAGUCCGGAUUGGAGUCUGCAACUCGACUCCAUGAAGUUGGAAUCACUAGUAAUCGCGAAUCAGAAUGUCGCGGUGAAUACGUUCUCGGGCCUUGUACACACCGCCCGUCACAUCAUGGAAGUGGGUUGCACCAGAAGUGGUUAGUCUAACCUUCGGGAAGACGAUCACCACGGUGUGAUUCAUGACUGGGAUGAAGUCGUAACAAGGUAGCCCUAGGGGAACCUGGGGCUGGAUCACCUCCUUA